CUCGCCUUCGUGCUUGGGGCCGUGCAUGCUUUUGCGUCCGUAGAGGUAUAUUUUGUUAUUUUUGAACACAUACGUAGCAAUUGCACUGUAACUUUCAGCGAUUAUUUUUCUCACCAUAAAUUGUCACAAAAGGACUACUCUGCUUUUCCCAUCUUUCGAUACAAGGACUUCUCAGUUGUCGUCCCAAAGUCUGUUCAUCCAAAGACAAAAACGUACUGCUAACAUGCCCACCAAUUUUUUAGGAAAUCAAUUGAAUUUGUCACUUUUACAUCGUCUCCAUCAAGACUCCACUCUGCUGUGUCUUCGACAGCAGCCUGGCAAGGCGUCUGUGGCAUCAAAGGCACUGGCCCAAAGAACGGUGGAAGGUGAGGGUAUAUGUGUGUUAUUCAAGUUCAAAUUUGUGAAUGACCAUGAAAAUGGACUGAAUUUUUAAGAGGGCCCACAUUUCAAAUUAUUUUCACUCCUUGACUGAAGCCUUUCUUAUGUGAUGUGUAAUUUAGGUGGUGUUCCCCGCCGAUUUUCUGUUACUGUUCUUUAAUAUAGUAGGCUGUUCCCUCUGACUGCCCUUUCUUUUUAUGUGAAAAGGGACUUUCUUAAUAUAGUGGUUAUGCAAGUUUCUACAAGACAGUAACUUUCAUCAGGUUUAACACAGACUAUUUUGAUUCAAUUGCAUAAGCAAAUCCUAGAACUAUAUAUGUGUUUGAGUUAGUUUCUCACGUUGUCGUAUAUACAUCUAUAGGCCCACCAGAAGAUUUGGAGGGUCAAUAAAUGGAGCUGAACAUCAAGACGCAUCUGACAUAAAGAUCAUGGCGCAGGACGGAGUGAUCUACAUGGAAACACAGGUUUUAGUCGAGGAUUAGCAAAGUACUCGUUAUAAUAGAGUAGGGCUUCUUUAGUCGUAUCUGACU
RNAcentral lists this long non-coding RNA (908 nucleotides) under Setaria italica (foxtail millet). RNAcentral describes it as "long non-coding RNA (SITA_LNC003119)". The record is from RNAcentral. Lineage: Eukaryota; Viridiplantae; Streptophyta; Magnoliopsida; Poales; Poaceae.